RNAcentral lists this ribosomal RNA (452 nucleotides) under uncultured bacterium. RNAcentral's name for it is "bacterial SSU rRNA". It matches the Rfam family "Bacterial small subunit ribosomal RNA", at positions 64 to 507 of the family's 1533-position model. The record is from RNAcentral.
GAGCGGUAGCACAGAGAGCUUGCUCUCCGGUGACGAGCGGCGGACGGGUGAGUAAUGUCUGGGAAACUGCCUGAUGGAGGGGGAUAACUACUGGAAACGGUAGCUAAUACCGCAUAACGUCGCAAGACCAAAGAGGGGGACCUUCGGGCCUCUUGCCAUCAGAUGUGCCCAGAUGGGAUUAUCUAGUAGGUGGGGUAAUGGCUCACCUAGGCGACGAUCCCUAGCUGGUCUGAGAGGAUGACCAGCCACACUGGAACUGAGACACGGUCCAGACUCCUACGGGAGGCAGCAGUGGGGAAUAUUGCACAAUGGGCGCAAGCCUGAUGCAGCCAUGCCGCGUGUAUGAAGAAGGCCUUCGGGUUGUAAAGUACUUUCAGCGAGGAGGAAGGCAUUGUGGUUAAUAACCACAGUGAUUGACGUUACUCGCAGAAGAAGCACCGGCUAACUCCGUG